AUACGGAGGAUCCGAGCGUUAUCCGGAUUUAUUGGGUUUAAAGGGUGCGCAGGCGGCCAUUUAAGUCAGCGGUUAAAUCGUGGGGCUCAACCCCAUUCUGCCGUUGAUACUGGGUGGCUUGAUUGCGGUCGAGGUUGGCGGAAUUCGUUGUGUAGCGGUGAAAUGCAUAGAUAUGACGAAGAACACCGAUUGCGUAGGCAGCUGACCAGACCGCAAAUGACGCUCAUGCACGAAAGGGCGGGGAUCGAACAGGAUUAGAUGCCCUUGUAGUCCGCACAGUAAACGAUGAAUACUUGUUUUCGGCGAUAUAAUGUCGGAGGCAAAGCGAAAGCGAUAAGUAUUCCACCUGGGGAGUACGCCGGCAACGGUGAAACUCAAAGGAAUUGACGGGG
Molecule: ribosomal RNA, 392 nt
Filed under: uncultured bacterium
Lineage: Bacteria
Description: partial 16S ribosomal RNA
Rfam family: Bacterial small subunit ribosomal RNA
Source: RNAcentral